CUUCCGCCCGUCCCUGCCUCCCCAUCGCGCUGCCCCCCGCCUCCCCAUCGCGCCUCCCUGCACCUCCUCCACCGGCCCCGCAUCCCCAUCGCGCCCCCUGCUCUCCCCCAUCCUGGAUCCCAUCCCCGAGCCGUCGACAGUCCCAUCGCCCCUCUCCUCCGCCGCCCCCGCCCCUGUUCUCCUCUGCCCUCGCGCCGCCCCCCGCCUCCCUGGAUCCGCCACCGACGACCCCCGCCUCGUCGGAUCCGCCACGGGCCGCAGCCAGCAAGAUAGGGGAGGCCGGAUCCGCCGCACCCAAGCCUGCGCGCCGCUGGAUCAGCCGCCGUCGACCUCCUCUCUGAUCUCUCUCUCACUCUCCUGCAAACUAAUUCUGUUAACAAAAGGAAUAGGUGAUGCAAAGAACUUUGUCUCCAACUGAAUCUCUGAGAGCAUAUAUGCUUAAUCUUCUGGUUACUUGUAGAGAACACUAGAGGAGACUAUUCCAGCACCAAAGAGAGCGCUUAGGUCUCAAUCUGCUGGACCCUCUCAAUUGCCUAGUUGUAUAAACAUGUAGGUUUAAUUUUCCUCUGCAGUUGUUACUUUUUUUGGUAGUUCAUGUACUAGCAGUUGCCAUUUUGGCAUCAGAUUUAGCUGUAGCACACUAGGACAAGUGACCUCUCUGGAAUUCUAUUGUUAUAACCAUUGGUGAUGUGUACAACUGGUACAAGGCGAAACACCUAGCUGCUGCACUUCUUUCUGAAAUUGUUAAUAAGUGCUCAUUUAUUCUCUAAAUAUCAACAUCUGGUGAAACUGAACCUGCUCAUACCUGUUACUAUUUCAUACAUUCUGGGUACUUAGCUGCUUAUUUUCGUCCUUUAACUGUCUGUUACUUUUAUUUGCUAGAGCGCCUGACACAGGUGUUGAUGCAGAAAGAGAGUCACUUAGAGAUUUUCAACCAUUACAAUUCCACUAUAUUGGAAUAUCUAAGCUUCUGUUUGAUCAUGCUUGUGAUGACAUCUCAGAUGCAUACUUGCUUUGACACAGGUGAGAUUUUUUUUAUUGAGGACAUCAGAGAUGUCAGGUUCCAUAAGGUUGAGACUUGAUUGGAGAAAAUCUCUGGCCGUAUAUCUAAGAAGAUCAAAGCCAACCAGACCUUACAAACAUGACUGACUCAUGCUGUGAAGAGGCUAAGACGCAGAUAACAAGCAAGACAUGCAUGUAUCAGUCACUUGUAUUUGCAGAUGAUUUACUACAUAUCCGUGGAUUGCAGUAAAUUGGAGGAGAUGCCUUGAUGAUGACUCCAUGUUGAAGGCCAAAGUACAUCUGAAGAUGGCCUUUCUCAAUUCAUGUAGAACUAUUGUGAACAACAUGUAUUGAGAUGCUUGAAUUGGUUGUUGGAAACUUGUUUGGAAUAUUGUGGAGAAUCUUAAUAUAUAUAAAUGUAUAAAUAUUAUAUAUGUACUGUAUAAAUGUAUAUGAAUUACCUGUAUUGCUGUAUA
Long non-coding RNA from Brachypodium distachyon (stiff brome), 1478 nucleotides. RefSeq lists it as uncharacterized. Lineage: Eukaryota; Viridiplantae; Streptophyta; Magnoliopsida; Poales; Poaceae. The transcript has 5 exons. The record is from RefSeq and is a predicted model, not a curated record.